UACGGAGGGAGCUAGCGUUGUUCGGAAUUACUGGGCGUAAAGGAUGCGUAGGCGGAUGUUUAAGUGAGAUGUGAAAUACCCGAGCUCAACUUGGGUGCUGCAUUUCAAACUGGAUAUCUAGAGUGCAGGAGAGGAAAGCGGAAUUCCUAGUGUAGCGGUGAAAUGCGUAGAGAUUAGGAAGAACACCAGUGGCGAAGGCGGCUUUCUGGACUGUAACUGACGCUGAGGCAUGAAAGCGUGGGGAGCAAACAGG
RNAcentral lists this ribosomal RNA (253 nucleotides) under uncultured bacterium. Its description in RNAcentral is "partial 16S ribosomal RNA". It matches the Rfam family "Bacterial small subunit ribosomal RNA", at positions 524 to 776 of the family's 1533-position model. The record is from RNAcentral.